UACGUAGGGUGCAAGCGUUAUCCGGAAUUAUUGGGCGUAAAGAGCUCGUAGGCGGUUUGUCGCGUCUGCUGUGAAAACUGGAGGCUCAACCUCCAGCCUGCAGUGGGUACGGGCAGACUAGAGUGCGGUAGGGGAGAUUGGAAUUCCUGGUGUAGCGGUGGAAUGCGCAGAUAUCAGGAGGAACACCGAUGGCGAAGGCAGAUCUCUGGGCCGUAACUGACGCUGAGGAGCGAAAACAUGGGGAGCGAACAGG
RNAcentral lists this ribosomal RNA (253 nucleotides) under uncultured bacterium. Its description in RNAcentral is "partial 16S ribosomal RNA". It matches the Rfam family "Bacterial small subunit ribosomal RNA", at positions 524 to 776 of the family's 1533-position model. The record is from RNAcentral.